Long non-coding RNA from Chroicocephalus ridibundus (black-headed gull), 512 nucleotides. RefSeq lists it as uncharacterized. The transcript has 3 exons. NCBI's taxonomy places the organism in Eukaryota, Metazoa, Chordata, Aves, Charadriiformes, Laridae. The record is from RefSeq and is a predicted model, not a curated record.
UGGGGAGUAAGAGGAGACCCAAAAUGCGGAUCUCGCGUCAGGGCUGGAGUUGUUCCUAGCCAUGGAAAAUCACAGUGACGGAGGAGCGAUGCUGGACGGGGGAAAACGGCUGGUGCUGAGCGUGAGGGUGCCACCGAGGCAGUGGGCUGCGAUAACCCCUCCAAGUACUUUUGUGUCUCUCCUCUGCUGGACAAAUGUCUACAGUGCUGAGCUAAGAAGGAUCUUCCUUUGUAUGUGGGGGGGGAAAGAAUGAAAAGUCUGGGACUGGUAAUCUCGGAAGAAGAUUGAACACAACAUAGGUCAUGGUCAAGAAACCUCUCAAAAGGCCAAGACUAAUUUAAGGUACGUGACAGUCUCACAUGUGCCUGACCACAGGGUUCUCACUUCCCUCUGAACCGCGUCUCUGGGGCUGCUGCCAGACGAGGUAGACCUCAGGCUUCAAUCAGCAUGGCAACUCCCUUGUGCCUUCUCCUAAUUGUUUCCCACAACCCUCCUAGCUCCCCGGCCGUCAG